RNAcentral lists this long non-coding RNA (1737 nucleotides) under Mustela putorius furo (domestic ferret). RNAcentral describes it as "lncRNA (ENSMPUG00000028840.1)". Lineage: Eukaryota; Metazoa; Chordata; Mammalia; Carnivora; Mustelidae. The record is from RNAcentral.
UGCAUAUAUUAUGAAACAAACUACAUUUGUUUGUUUAUAAGAUUGGAAUCGCACUCUUUUUCCUACUCUUCUAAGCUGGUUCAAUGCCAUAUGCCUAGUUGGGGGGUUGAAAUGCUCUACCAUCUAAGAACAAUCGUCUCUUUCCCAAAGAAAGUUGUGCCUAGAAAACUCACACGCCGGGUGGGUAUCAGAAUACUCUUUUCUUGAAUUGGUUCCAGAUAUUUUCUCAUUAUGCCUAUAAACAUUUGUGGGGAGGCCCCGUAUAGCACAUGGAUAAAAGACAGGCCCUAUGAUAACCUAGGAAAAUGUACAUAAGGCUGUGGAUGCUACUUUGGUCUGGUUGAAAUAAUAUGAUUUGUAUUUCAUUGAAGAAUUAAUAAAAUUACUGUGAUCUUCAAAAGAAAGUUCUAACAUUUCUUUCCUUUUCUUCCAAGAAGGUAUGUUAAAAUGAUAUCAGAGGAGAAAGGAAUUUGAAUCUUCAUGAGGAAACCAAAUGUAGGAAUAAAGAGCAUAGAUCUGGAUUCAGACAGACCUAGAUUUAAAUAAUGACACUACUAGUUGAUAGCAGUAAGACCUUGUGCUGUACUUUCCUAUUCUGAAAAAUGGGAAUGUAAAUAUUCCUUCAGUGUGUUGUUGGGAGAAUUUAAUGAGAAUGUGUAUGUAAAGCUAUUAGUAAAGCAUCAGGCUCACAGUGGGUACUUCCCUUGACAGUGGCUAUUAUUACUAUUUAAAAAAAAAGAUUUUAUUUAUUUAUUUGACAGAGAGACAGCAAGAGAGGGAACACAAGCAGGGGGAGUGGGAGAGGGAGAAGCAGGCUUCCUGCUGAGCAAGGAGCCGGGUCCGAGGCUCAAUUCCAGGACCCUGGGAUCAUGACCUGAGCCGAAGGCAGAAGCUUAAUGACAGAGCCACCCAGGCGUCCCAUCUAUUAUUAUUACUGAGUUGUGAGAAGAUUAAUUCAAGGGUCCCAUGCUCAGUCCCACAUGCUAUACUAUGAAUUUAGCAGUGUCCGUUAACUUUAAUAUUCCCUCACUGCUUGUUUUAACAACUAAUAAAAACAAAUGUUUUUUACUGUGUUUAAGAUUCUGCGAACGGUCUGUUGCUAAGACACAAUCAGAGAAGAAGGACAUCAGGUUAUACAAAUUACUGAGCCUAACAGAUACAGCCAUUAAAGGGUCAAAGUUGAAUGGAUAAAGAAGAUGUGGUCCAUACACACGAAGGAAUAUUACGCAGCCAUCAGAAAGGAUGAAUACCCAACUUUUGCAUCAACAUGGACGGGGCUGGAGGAGAUGAUGCUGAGUGAAACAAGUCAAGCAGAGAAAGUCAAUUAUUAGAUGGUUUCACUUAUUUGCAGGGACAUAAGGAAAAGCAUGGAGGACAUUAGGAGAAGGGAGGGGAAAAUGAAGGAGGGGAAUCAAAGAGAAAAACGAACCAUGAGACCCUGUGGACUCCAGGAAACAGACUGAGGGUUUUAGAGGGGAGAAAGGGUGGGGGGAUGGGUGAGCUUGGUGGUGGGUAUUAAGGAGGGCACGUAUUGCACGGAGCACUGGGUGUUAGGUAUAAACAAUGACUCAUGGAACACUGCAUUAAAAACUAAUGACAUGCUAUACGGUGACUAACAUAACACAAUAAAUAAAUAAAUAAAUAUACAGCGUCAAAGUCUCUGGUAUAUGAAUCUGCUUUCAAAAGAGACAAAGCCUUUUUUCUUUUCUUUUCUUUCUUUUUUUUAUGAGAGAAGAG